GAUGAACGCUGGCGGCGUGCCUAAUACAUGCAAGUCGAGCGGACAGACGAGGAGCUUGCGCCUCUGACGUUAGCGGCGGACGUGUGAGUAACACGUGGAUACCCUACCUAUAAUACUGGGAUAACUUCGGGAAACCGGAGCUAAUACCGGAUAAUCUAUUGAACCGCAUUGUUCAAUAGUGAAAGACGGUUUUGCUGUCACUUAUAGAUGGAUCCGCGCCUUUUUGGAUGGUUGGGAAGUUAACGGCUUACGAAGGGAACGAUGCGUGGGCGACGUGAGAGGGUGAUAGGCGACAUGGGAACGGAGACAGGGUCAAGACUACUACGGGAGGCAGCAGUAGGGAAUGUUCCGCAAUGGGCGAAAGCCUGGCGGAGCAACGCCGCGUGAGUGAUGAAGGUCUUCGGAUCGUAAAACUCUGUUAUUAGGGAAGAACAAAUGUGUAAGUAACUAUGCACGUAUUGACGGUACCUAAUAAGAAAGCCACGGCUAACUACGUG
Molecule: ribosomal RNA, 497 nt
Filed under: uncultured bacterium
Lineage: Bacteria
Description: partial 16S ribosomal RNA
Rfam family: Bacterial small subunit ribosomal RNA
Source: RNAcentral